CCUACGGGUGGCUGCAGUGGGGAAUAUUGCGCAAUGGGCGAAAGCCUGACGCAGCGACGCCGCGUGAGGGAUGAAGGUCUUCGGAUCGUAAACCUCUGUCAGCAGGGAAGAACGGUCACUGUGCUAAUCAGCAGUGAAUUGACGGUACCUGCAAAGGAAGCACCGGCUAACUCCGUGCCAACAGCUGCGGGAAAAGGGGGGGUGCGAGCGGUAAUCGGAAUUACUGGGCGUAAAGCGCUCGUAGGGGGGAUGUCAAGUCAAGGGUGAAAUCCCCGGGCUCAACGUGGGAACUGCCUUUGAAACUGGCAAACUGGAGUGUGUGAGAGGGUAGUGGAAUUCCCGGUGUAGGAGUGAAAUCCGUAGAUAUCUGGAGGAACAUCAGUGGCGAAGGCGACUAUCUGGCACAUAACUGACGCUGAGGAGCGAAAGCGUGGGUAGCAAACAGGAUUAGAUACCCCAGUAGUC
Molecule: ribosomal RNA, 465 nt
Filed under: uncultured bacterium
Lineage: Bacteria
Description: partial 16S ribosomal RNA
Rfam family: Bacterial small subunit ribosomal RNA
Source: RNAcentral